AUCGGGCUUUGCUUGGUGGUGAGAGUGGCGAACGGGUGAGUAAUGCGUGACCGACCUGCCCCAUACACCGGAAUAGCUCCUGGAAACGGGUGGUAAUGCCGGAUGCUCCGACUCCUCGCAUGGGGUGUCGGGAAAGAUUUCAUCGGUAUGGGAUGGGGUCGCGUCCUAUCAGGUAGUCGGCGGGGUAACGGCCCACCGAGCCUACGACGGGUAGCCGGCCUGAGAGGGCGACCGGCCACAUUGGGACUGAGAUACGGCCCAGACUCCUACGGGAGGCAGCAGUGGGGAAUAUUGCACAAUGGGCGCAAGCCUGAUGCAGCGACGCCGCGUGCGGGAUGACGGCCUUCGGGUUGUAAACCGCUUUUGAUCGGGAGCAAGCCUUCGGGUGAGUGUACCUUUCGAAUAAGCACCGGCUAACUACGUGCCAGCAGCCGCGGUAAUACGUAGGGUGCAAGCGUUAUCCGGAAUUAUUGGGCGUAAAGGGCUCGUAGGCGGUUCGUCGCGUCCGGUGUGAAAGUCCAUCGCUUAACGGUGGAUCUGCGCCGGGUACGGGCGGGCUGGAGUGCGGUAGGGGAGACUGGAAUUCCCGGUGUAACGGUGGAAUGUGUAGAUAUCGGGAAGAACACCAAUGGCGAAGGCAGGUCUCUGGGCCGUUACUGACGCUGAGGAGCGAAAGCGUGGGGAGCGAACAGGAUUAGAUACCCUGGUAGUCCACGCCGUAAACGGUGGAUGCUGGAUGUGGGGCCCGUUCCACGGGUUCCGUGUCGGAGCUAACGCGUUAAGCAUCCCGCCUGGGGAGUACGGCCGCAAGGCUAAAACUCAAAGAAAUUGACGGGGGCCCGCACAAGCGGCGGAGCAUGCGGAUUAAUUCGAUGCAACGCGAAGAACCUUACCUGGGCUUGACAUGUUCCCGACAGCCGUAGAGAUAUGGCCUCCCUUCGGGGCGGGUUCACAGGUGGUGCAUGGUCGUCGUCAGCUCGUGUCGUGAGAUGUUGGGUUAAGUCCCGCAACGAGCGCAACCCUCGCCCUGUGUUGCCAGCACGUCAUGGUGGGAACUCACGGGGGACCGCCGGGGUCAACUCGGAGGAAGGUGGGGAUGACGUCAGAUCAUCAUGCCCCUUACGUCCAGGGCUUCACGCAUGCUACAAUGGCCGGUACAACGGGAUGCGACACGGCGACGUGGAGCGGAUCCCUGAAAACCGGUCUCAGUUCGGAUUGGAGUCUGCAACCCGACUCCAUGAAGGCGGAGUCGCUAGUAAUCGCGGAUCAGCAACGCCGCGGUGAAUGCGUUCCCGGGCCUUGUACACACCGCCCGUCAAGUCAUGAAAGUGGGUAGCACCCGAAGCCGGUGGCCUAACCCUUUG
RNAcentral lists this ribosomal RNA (1364 nucleotides) under Bifidobacterium sp. S482. Its description in RNAcentral is "bacterial SSU rRNA". It matches the Rfam family "Bacterial small subunit ribosomal RNA", at positions 72 to 1445 of the family's 1533-position model. The record is from RNAcentral. Lineage: Bacteria; Bacillati; Actinomycetota; Actinomycetes; Bifidobacteriales; Bifidobacteriaceae.